UACCAACCACGCCAGUCAUGACGGAGGACAAGAGCGAAGCGCUUUCUCCCAACCCAAUUGUUCGAAAAAGUAUUGGGGCAUAAAAGGCUAUGACAUUGAUCCCUGUCACUUGCUGAAAAAAUGGUAUGGCUAUUGCCAUCACAAGCUGAGGCCUAUACUUUCUCUCCAGGAUUUUCUUGAAAGGGUGUUUCAUGUUUUUCGAUAUGUUGUUUGCUUUGAUCAGAUCAUCGAGUUCCACUUGGACAUCAUCGACCCCUCUGAUACGUUGCAGCAUUAGCUUGGCUGUUUGGUGGUCCGCGCUGCGCUGGAUUAGGCUGUUGGGUGUUUCCGGAAGGAAAAAUG
RNAcentral lists this long non-coding RNA (342 nucleotides) under Malus domestica (apple). Its description in RNAcentral is "long non-coding RNA (MDOM_LNC007133)". The record is from RNAcentral. Lineage: Eukaryota; Viridiplantae; Streptophyta; Magnoliopsida; Rosales; Rosaceae.